This 321-nucleotide ribosomal RNA is filed under the name uncultured Streptococcus sp. Its description in RNAcentral is "bacterial SSU rRNA". It matches the Rfam family "Bacterial small subunit ribosomal RNA", at positions 1059 to 1382 of the family's 1533-position model. The record is from RNAcentral. Lineage: Bacteria; Bacillati; Bacillota; Bacilli; Lactobacillales; Streptococcaceae.
CUCGUGUCGUGAGAUGUUGGGUUAAGUCCCGCAACGAGCGCAACCCCUAUUGUUAGUUGCCAUCAUUCAGUUGGGCACUCUAGCGAGACUGCCGGUAAUAAACCGGAGGAAGUGGGGAUGACGUCAAAUCAUCAUGCCCCUUAUGACCUGGGCUACACACGUGCUACAAUGGUUGGUACAACGAGUUGCGAGUCGGUGACGGCGAGCUAAUCUCUUAAAGCCAAUCUCAGUUCGGAUUGUAGGCUGCAACUCGCCUACAUGAAGUCGGAAUCGCUAGUAAUCGCGGAUCAGCACGCCGCGGUGAAUACGUUCCCGGGCCUU